This 969-nucleotide long non-coding RNA is filed under the name Cricetulus griseus (Chinese hamster). RNAcentral describes it as "lncRNA (ENSCGRG00000025808.1)". The record is from RNAcentral. Lineage: Eukaryota; Metazoa; Chordata; Mammalia; Rodentia; Cricetidae.
CGGGUGUUCUGAGUCUCUAAGGCCCAAGAGGAAGAAACACAGCUGUCUUCUACAUGGAAACGGGAAAGAUGCUCACCCUAUUCACACCCCUAAGACUGGCCAUGGCUCUCAAAUUUCUUUGAUCUCUCCAGGCAGGCAUGUAGUAAGUCCAUGGGUUCCCAAUGGUACCCACUUUGGACUCAUAGAGUUGCAUCUGAGUUCUUGAAUUUCAAUUUCAAAUCCCUAAACAACACUUUCCCAUAGGAGAAUGAACAUAUCUAGCUCCAUAUCUUUCAUUCAUCCAUCAGUGGUGCCAGUGAUUCUUGCCCAGAUAUGGUCUAGAGGUCACCUGAUCUGUUCAUUUCUACCUAAGGCUGGAAAGUCUAGCUUAGGCUCAUCUGGGGAAAGGGCACCAUGAAAGGCCUGGACCUAGACUAUGACAGCUAAGAAAGAGAAUCGGGAAGACAUAAAGAACCAGAAUGCAUCACUCGAAGCAACUGCACUGAAUCCUGGCAGAUAUGUGCUCUGCUUUCCUGAGUAACCCUGGAGAAUUAGCAGCCAUUGCCAGGGCCCCUGAAAAGCUCUUGAGAAGGACCUGCACUAUGUAGACAGGAUUGCAACCUCCUGUGUGCAUGAAGUCCCCUUUGUAAGCUAGGGGUUGCUAAACAAAGCCUUGCUUCAGUGGAAGUCACAUGUAAGCAGUCAUGGCCUUCUACGUGACAAGAGCCUCGUGGACAUCCCAAAGUCGUGGUUUUGGAGCUAAAGAAGAAUCCUCUAAUUACCAGAUCAAAUUCCUGAUUCUGUGCUGUAAAUGGAAGAGAUAUUUUUAUGUUAGGAAGGACCUGGGCUCAAUCAGCAUCAUAAAGUGAUACAGGAUGAGAAAAGAAGAGCUGUGAGCUGAGACAAGUCUUGGGAACCUCUAGAAUGGACUCCCCAGAAUCCUUCUACAUUUGUGCCGGAUUGAAGACUUUCCAUGGCCAAGAGAGUCAG